GACAGAGGGGGCGAAGGAUGUCCGGAAUCACUGGGCGUAAAGCGCGCACGGGCGGCAACUUAAGUGUCGUGUGAAAGCCCCCGGCUCAACCGGGGGAGGCCAUGGCAAACUGGGUCGCUCGAGCUGCGGAGAGGCCCCUCGAAUUGCCGGUGUAGCGGUGAAAUGCGUAGAGAUCGGCAGGAAGACCAAGGGGGAAGCCAGGGGGCUGGCCGCAGGCUGACGCUGAGGCGCGUCAGCGUGGGUAGCAAACCGG
This 253-nucleotide ribosomal RNA is filed under the name uncultured bacterium. RNAcentral's name for it is "partial 16S ribosomal RNA". It matches the Rfam family "Bacterial small subunit ribosomal RNA", at positions 524 to 776 of the family's 1533-position model. The record is from RNAcentral.